This is a non-coding RNA of Arachis ipaensis, 1451 nucleotides long. NCBI's taxonomy places the organism in Eukaryota, Viridiplantae, Streptophyta, Magnoliopsida, Fabales, Fabaceae. The record is from RefSeq and is a predicted model, not a curated record.
UUUAUCUUUUAACAUAAUCCUAAAAUCAUCUGCAGCACUCUCAUUCUUCUCUUCUCCCAAAUUUGAACCCUAGCAGAGAGCAUACUACCCUAGCCAGUAGCCACCGACGGUCAAAAGCUCCUCAUUGACCAUGGCGGUUCACGGUAACGGCCAAUAGUCCCUCACUCAUGGCGGCAACCAACAACCCCAAGCCUUUUCCCCACACCACCAUCUUCGAUUUUUGCCCGGCUAUCACCGUUCGUUACUUCCAUCAUCAGACGUCUUCUCCGCCAUCGUUAGUGAUCUUUUCUACCAUCCUCAGUCCUUUUCUCCAUGGUUUGCAGGAAAGAAGCUCUCUCUUCCUGACUCCGCCGCUGCCAGCGGCAUCGCGGCAGCGCUCAUUGUCACUCCGACGAACCCCGCAACAGCUCUUAGGCUCUACACCACUGUUUCCCACCGACUCCUCCGCAAUGUCGUUAUUGCCGCCAACAUUGCUUUCGGACCCACAGUUCAAGAACCUUCUCUCAUCAUGGUCCCACACGACCAUUAAUUGAAGCUCAAACACAACUGAAGCACAAGAAGGAAUCUGUGAAGACAAAACAUCCACAGCUUCAUUAUGAAUCAAAUAUAUAUGCUUCUUCAAGAAGGGAGUAAGUAUAUAUACGUCUAUUUCUUUUCAGCAUUGUCUGUGCUAAAAGUCUUAGGUACUACCUAAUAGAAAAUUUUCACUUGAAAAAUGGUUUCUGCUUUCUCAAGUUUGAAAAUUUUAAAUGAUUGUUGUCCAGAAUCUUCUAGUCUUAAUGCAAUCAAAACUAUGAAUUUUGAAAUCAUGCAUUUAUAGUAAAAUCAAAUAAUUAAGACUCCAAGUUUCUCAUAAAAUAAUCAUGAUGUUUUCUUUUGAGUAAUCCAAUUUGGUUCCUUAUUAAAAUUGGGAUUCUCCACCUAAAGUGGUUUGGAGUUGAAGGAGACUACAACAUUAUGGCUAUUGACCUUCUUGGACCAAGCUUGGAAGAUUUAUUCAAUUAUUGCAACAGGAAGUUUACACUGAAGACAUUGUUAAUGCUUGCUGAUCAAUUAGUAAGUCUACAUGUCAACUAUUAUAAUCAAACAAGAAUCACAUGAUGUUGUGUAGUGUAGUGCAGUGCCUUUGAUUUUGACUGUUGGAUUCCUUAUGAUUAUGAAUUUCUUUCCUUUUCUUUUUUGAAUUUCUUGCUACUUCUUUGGUGAUCAUCUUCUAUGAAUUCAUUUGUAGAGUUCUGCAUCAUGGGUUUGUUUGCCUUAUAAUUCUAUGACCUCAUGUAUAGACAAAAGAUUUCCCAUUCUUUUAUUGAUCUGUGUUGCUUUUUUGUAAUUUGCAGAACUGAUGAGGUAAUCAACACUCAAUUGAUGAUUUCUCGGUAAAUUUGCCAAAAAUGGGUCAAGCAUUUUUCUCCAUAUUUUAGCUUGAAACAGAGGUUGUUAUUGGCUUAUUU